RNAcentral lists this ribosomal RNA (373 nucleotides) under uncultured organism. RNAcentral's name for it is "bacterial SSU rRNA". It matches the Rfam family "Bacterial small subunit ribosomal RNA", at positions 526 to 896 of the family's 1533-position model. The record is from RNAcentral.
CGUAGGGUGCGAGCGUUAAUCGGAAUUACUGGGCGUAAAGCGUGCGCAGGCGGUUUUGUAAGACAGAUGUGAAAUCCCCGGGCUCAACCUGGGACCUGCAUUUGUGACUGCAAGGCUAGAGUACGGUAGAGGGGGAUGGAAUUCCGCGUGUAGCAGUGAAAUGCGUAGAUAUGCGGAGGAACACCGAUGGCGAAGGCGGGAUCCUGGGCCAGUACUGACGCUGAGGAGCGAAAGCGUGGGGAGCAAACAGGAUUAGAUACCCUGGUAGUCCACGCCGUAAACGAUGGGCGCUAGGUGUGGGAGGUCAUCGACUCCUUCCGUGCCGCAGCUAACGCAUUAAGCGCCCCGCCUGGGGAGUACGGCCGCAAGGCUA